Pantherophis guttatus is the source of this 388-nucleotide long non-coding RNA. RefSeq lists it as uncharacterized. Lineage: Eukaryota; Metazoa; Chordata; Lepidosauria; Squamata; Colubridae. The record is from RefSeq and is a predicted model, not a curated record.
ACUUGGAAGGCAUCUGAAAGCUUUGCCCCACAUGUUGCUAGGUGUGAGAUGCUGUUUCUUAAACUGGGCACCAGGAGACAUCAGGUAUACAUCUGGAACUGGCUGUUGCCCAUGUGGAUGGACCUUUUGUACCCAGGGGGAGGAGUUAAGAAAUACAAGUGGCUGUGAAAUGCUUUGGAUUAUUGUAUUUUUCGCUCCAUAAAACGCUCCUGACUAUAAGAUGCACCUAGGUUUAGAGGAGGAAAACAAGAAAAAAAAAUCUGCCUCUGCCUCCCAGCAUCAAUCUGGUAUUCAUCUGACUAGCAUCCUUGUAGCAAAAAGCAAGCAGCCUGCCUCCUCUGUGUCUGCUGCCUCCGCUGGGGAAUGCUGGAGCCUUUGCUUCCAAGCA